UUGAGUGCGCAAAGUGCCAUAGCAUAGAGAAGUAGUGAAAUAUGAAAUUCAUUUGCCAAAACUUCUCCAAAUAUUAACCCCUGCAAAAGAAUUAGAUUAGGAACAAUACAAAGGCAUGGAAAAAGUCUUCUAAAAACAGAGAAAUUGAAUCCAGAGAAGAAGAAACCAGAUGAAAAAUUUAACAUUCAAUCAGGAAAAUAAUGUAUUGAGAUGGAGGAACAAAUUCGC
This 228-nucleotide long non-coding RNA is filed under the name Solanum tuberosum (potato). RNAcentral describes it as "long non-coding RNA (STUB_LNC003750)". Lineage: Eukaryota; Viridiplantae; Streptophyta; Magnoliopsida; Solanales; Solanaceae. The record is from RNAcentral.